This 271-nucleotide ribosomal RNA is filed under the name uncultured bacterium. Its description in RNAcentral is "partial 16S ribosomal RNA". It matches the Rfam family "Bacterial small subunit ribosomal RNA", at positions 355 to 623 of the family's 1533-position model. The record is from RNAcentral.
UGAGGAAUAUUGGGCAAUGCCCGCAAGGGUGACCCAGCAACGCCGCGUGGAGGAUGAAUGUCGUAAGAUUGUAAACUCCUGUUAGAGGGGAAGAAUAGUACCGGUUGGACCGGUAUAUGACUGUACCCUCAGAGAAAUCCCCGGCUAACUACGUGCCAGCAGCCGCGGUAAUACGUAGGGGGCAAGCGUUGUCCGGAUUUACUGGGCGUCAAGGGCGCGCAGGCGGGAUAAAAAGUCAGUGGUGAAAUCCUACAGCUUAACUGUAGAACUG